This 8381-nucleotide long non-coding RNA is filed under the name Nicotiana benthamiana. RNAcentral describes it as "long non-coding RNA (NBEN_LNC036293)". Lineage: Eukaryota; Viridiplantae; Streptophyta; Magnoliopsida; Solanales; Solanaceae. The record is from RNAcentral.
CCAAAUGCGCAAGCGUACACUUAGUCAUCAAGAUGGUAUAUUAUGCAAAUUUUCACAACUUUCCAACUCCUUCACUCUAUUCCUACUGUCUAAUUCGAACCCUCAAAUUUCUAUUUACCCACAACAUGUAUUUUCCCCAGCGUUGAUUUUCAGUACAAUCAUUAACAAAUAAUUACCCAUCGCAAGGAGUUGGGGAGAAAGAGGAGUGUAAUGAAAAAUGUGAUACUUCUUAAAUUUGACUAACAAUAUAAAGGGUUGAAAUGGACAUACCAGAUAUGGGCUGAACAUGAGCAAGGUAAGUCCUACUUUUUGAAUUCCUUUUUGAUUUUGUUUUUCUCAGUGUUUUUGGUCCUUUCUUUCUUUUUGUUUGUCUUAUGCACUGUGCCCGUGUGUGUGUGAGUAAAGACUAAAAACAAGAAUAAGAGAGAGACCUAGGGCUUAGUACCUGAGAGUUUUACGGUGAAAAAAUUCAUCGAAUAAUAUAUUUAUGCUGCCGCAUAUGUGUUAUGCGAUGGGUUAGUGACUGUGUUGUGCAACAGAUCUGCAACCAGUUCUGCGAUCGCAGAAUCAUUAUGCGGUCCACAGAAAGUGAAUCCUCACCGCAUUUAUUAAGGACAAAUUUUCAUUUUUUCAGCUUGUUUAUGUGAUCACUAUGCAGUACUCAAAUCCGUUAUACGAUCUUGCAUUCUAACACACACGAAAAACUGUUCAACAUUUAAAAAUAAACUUACCGAAAUUAAAAUCUAACCAAAAAGUGUUACCAACACAUGGGUUGCCUCCCAAGAAGCAAUUAAUUUAACAUCACAGCACGACGAUAUUUCCCAAAUUUUGGCUAACCAGUUGUGGGGGUUGGUGUAAGACCAUCCUUGAGUGCGAGUUGUUCUACCAAGUGCCUUUCUCCAAUGAUUCCAAGGUAAUGCUUGAACUCUUUGCCAUUUAAUUUGAAGGUGCGAGUCUCGUCCUCAGAUUCUAAUUCAAUAGCGCCGUAGGAAGACACAUUCACAACUUUGAACGGGCCAGACCAUUUGGAUUUGAGUUUGCCAGGAAACAACUUCAGACUUGAGUUGAAGAGUAAGAAGAAGUCAUUGGAUUUGAAUCCCGCUUCAAAAUCUUCUUAUCAUAAACAAACUUCAUUCUUUAUUUAUACGUGGUUGCAUUCUCAUAUGCAUGAAAAUUUAUUCUUCCAUUUAGUUGAGUUGAGUCAUCCUUAGAUUAGAAGCUUAGGUCUAGUGAAGUUUUAACUUUUUCAAUGCCAAGAUAGCUUUGUGUUCAAGCUCCACUGGCAAGUGACGCGUCUUACCAAAAACAAACCGGUAUGGUGAGGUGCCAAUGAGAGUCUUAAAUGAUGUUCGAUUUUCCCAAAAUGUAUCAUCUAGAUUCUUUGACUAGUCGGUCCUGUUUGCAUUAACAAUUUUUGCAUGAAUAUUUUUGAUCUCCUGGUUGGAAACUUUAACUUGACCGCUCGACUGAGGAUGAUAAGAGGUUGCCACCUUUUUCAUAACUCCAUAUUUUUAGAGCAACCCAUAAAUAUAUUUGUUGCAAAAGUGAAAACCACCAUCUUUAAGAAUAGCCCUUGGGUUCCAAAUUGAGUAAAUAUGUUCUACUUCAAGAAGGCGGUUACACUCCUUGGCUCAUUGUUUGGCAAGGAAACUGCCUCGCCCAUUUCAAGACAUAAUCUACUUCCACAAAUAUAUAUGUCAUGCCGUUAGAGAUUACAAAGGGACCCAUGAAACCUUUCCCCCACACAUCAAAGAUCUUGACCUCUAUCACAAAGUUCAUAGGCAUAUUCUAGAAAUGACCCUUGUCUUUGACAUUGAUCACAUGCCUUGACUAUUUGGUUUGCUUCCUGGUAGAUCUAUGACCAAUAAUAGGAACAUUUAAGCACUUUUUCUGCAGUACGAUUUCCACUGUGGUAGCCCCUAACUAGGGAGUCACGACAAACUUUGAGACUUUGAAUUACCUUAUCUUUCGAAAUACAACACUGAAUGAUGCAGUCUGUGCAAAUACGGAACAAAAAGGGUUCGUCCCAAUUGUAUUGCCUACACUCAUGCAAGAACUUUUCUUUUGAUAAGCUUCCAAUCUUUCGGGGAUAAGGUUACUAACCAAGAAGUUAGCGUUGUUGGCAUACCAAGAAGUGAUGGCACUAGAAAAUGCCAAUAUGAGUUCAUAACGAAGGCAUCAUUUAUUUCAAGAUCUUCACUUUUUCUCCCUACCUCUUCAAGCCUAGACAAGUGAUCCACAACUUGAUUAUCUGUUCCUUUCUGAUCUUUGACUUCAAUAUCAAACUCUUGUAACAAAAGAACUCACCUAAUUAAUCUUGAUUUAGCAUCCUUCUUUUCCAUAAGGUAGCAGAGAGCAGCAUGAUCAUUGUGGACUCUCACUUUAGAGUCCAACAAAUAGGCCUUGAUUUUUUUCAAACGAAUAGAGAAUAGAAACAAUUCUUUCUCCAUCACGGUGUAAUUCAUUUGUGCGCCAUUGAGUGUCUUGCGUGCAUAGUAUAUAGGAUGAAGAAUCUUGUUAUUUCUUUGACCAAGUACUACUCCAAUCACUAAACCACUAGCAUCACGCAUGAGUCCAAAUGGAAGAAACCAAUCGGAUGUGACAAUAAUAGGUGGUGUGGUAAGCCUUACUUUCAAUUCCUUGAAAUCUUUGAGACACUUCUCAUGGAACUCAGUCUUAGUAUCCUUUUCAAGGAACUUGCACAUGGGACUUGCAGUUUUUUAGAAGUCUUUGAUAAAUUGCCUAUAAAAAUCGGCAUGUCCCAAAAAGCUCCGAAUGCCUUUUACCAAAGUGGGAGGAGGAAGCUUGGAAAUGAUCUCGAUUUUCGCCUGAUAAAUCUCUAUGCCUUGCUUGGAAAUUUUAUGGCCAAGAACAAUACCAUCGUCAACCAUAAAGUGACAUUUUUUUUUGAUUAAGUACAAGGUUUAGGUUCUCACAUCUUUUGAGCACUUGCCUAAGGUUGUCAAGCCAAUUCUCAAAGGAAUCACCAACUACAGAAUAGUCAUCCAUGAACAUCUCUAAGAAAUCCUCAACCAUCUCCGAGAAGAUUGAAAUCAUGCAUCGUUGAAAGGUAGUCGGGCAUUACAUAGCCCAGAUAUCUUCCAACUAAAGGCAAAGGUACCAUACAGACAUAUGAAUGACAUCUUCUCUUGAUCCUCCAAGGCGUAUUGAUUUGGUUGUGGCCAUAAUAACCAUCAAAUAAGCAAUAAAAUGACCUUCCCACAAGCUGAUUAAGCUUUUUGUCUAUAAAUGGCAUGGGGAAAUGGUCUUUGCAAGUAGCACUAUUGAGCUUCUGGUAGUCCAUGAAAACUCCACUCGGUUACUGUCCUCGUUGGGAUGAGUUCAUUUUUCUUAUUUUGAAUCACGGGCAUGCCUCCUUUCUUUGGCACACAUUGAACCAGACUCACCCAUGGACUACCGGCAUUAGGAGAAACCCCAAUAUCCAACCAUUUUAUAACUUCUUUCUUCACUGUCUAUUGCAUGGAAGGAUUUAACCUUCUUUGAUGCUCCACACUAGUUUUUUUCUCCUCUUCCAAAUGUAUCUUGUGCUCACAAAUUCCAAUAGGAAUCCCUCAGAUAUCCGCUAUAGUCCAACCAAUGGCUUGCGUGUGGUCUCUCACGACAUCUAAGAAGUGUUUAAUCUGCGCAUUAUUCAACAAAGAAGAAACAAUUAUGGGUAGAGCUUCAUUAGAUCCACGAAUUUUAUACCUUAAUACGGUGGAAGUGGCUUGAGCUCAAGUUGUGGCGGCUUCGCAAUUGAAGGCUUAGCGGGAGGGGUGACUAUAUUCUCUAAGUCAAGAGAAAGCUUUUUUUGAUGCAUAAGUGUAGGACCCAAGCCCUUCUAAUACAUUCACCGAUUCCAUGUAUCCUUCCAUAUAUUCACCAUCAAAAUUCACCAAAAUAGCCGUUAAUGCCACACCAAGGAAUUACUCUUCCAUCUUCACCUUGAAUGCACCCUCUACCUUAUCUACAACAUCAUUGAUUGAGAUACUUUCGUAUGUAUGUGGUAAUUUCAUAAAGGUAACUUCUUCAUCAUUAACUCGGAACUUAAUCUCAUUUCGUUUCGAGUCCACCAGUGCCCUCCCAGUAGCAAGGAAUGGUUUCCCCAAGAUGAUUGGGAUAUCUUUAUCAACAGCACAAUCGAGGAUAACAAAGUCGACAGGGAGGAGAAACUUCCCCACUUUCACAAUAACAUCAUCAACAAUUCCCACCGAUCACUUUAUUGAAUAGUCGGCCAUUGCAACCUCAUACUUGUUUGCCUAGGCAUACCUAUUCCCUCUUUCUUGUAAAUAGCAAGUGGAAUUAAGUUGAUGAUAGGUUCAUUAUCACAAAGUGCUCCUUAAAAAUCGUGUGUUUAUCAUUAAAAUGGUAAUAACAGUUAAAUUUAUUGAUGGGACUCUAAAAAUACGUAAUCUAUUUUAUGCUAGUUGUUAGAGCAAUGGAGGCUAGAUAUGUGAAGUUUAACGAUGGAAUACGAACUAAAAUAGAGUUAUAAUCAAACCGAGGGGCUUGUGAUCCGGGCCUUGGACUGGCCGACGAAGGGCCUCGAGGUCGAUGCCUGCUUAAGCUCGAGCUAUCGGGGGUAACCAAGUAGGGACUAACAGUUAGGAUAUAAUUAAAGGAGGCUCUUCAUGGUCAAUAUUAAGCAAUGACAGAAGAACAAGUAUGAAACCAAUAAGUAGAAAGGAAAGCCUCGAGCGAGUAAGUUAGAGAGAAAAGAGAGUUGUUAUUAUCUUGUAUAGAAUAGUUGAAGCAACAACAACCCGCUACAAAGAGACGAGGAUCCCAUUUAUAUAGGAGGGGGAACCUCCCAUAGUAUAAAAUAUUAAUUGGAAAAGCAUGGAGAUAGGACGGCUAGACGCGACGCCUUGAUACAUGCUCUGGGUAGGCUGGCAGUGUCUGACUUCGGCGUGUGCCUUGGGAAUUCCCCAUUUUGCUCUAGCCUCGAUCUAUUUCCUCUUCAUGUCGGGCCUUGACGUGCUUCGGGGGAGGGAACUCUGUCACGCCCCAACCUUGGGAGGCGUGGCUGGCACCCGGUGCUGCCCUGACCCGAGCGAACCACUCUGUGACUGUUUCAUUCUUUUUGUAACUAUCAUUCGUCAAUUGAUGAGUGGUGAUUUUACCACUCAUUCUAGCCUCUUUUGCGUAGCUUUUAUGACCUUUUUAUUAUACAAUGAGGUUGUUUAUGGUGGUUAUUGUUAGAUUUUCAGGUAAAUUAUCCUGUUGAAGUGAAGUGGAAUUGAGGAAAAAGAAGGUGAUACCAUGGAAAACCUCCAGUAAUUUUCGCUUCUGCGGAUAAUUGGUCGCAGGAGCGACUUCUGCUUUUUCGGAUUGUUGACCGCUUCUGCGGAUAAGGAUGAAUAGUCGAGACCCAUUUUUGUAGUUAAAAUUCCGCUUCUGCGUAACCGCAGAAGCACGUUGAGGAUCGCUUCUGCGAUCACUGGCAAAUAGUGACUUUCCUCUUCUGGUUUUGAAUUGUUCCGCAGAUGGUAGAUCGUGCAUCACGCCUGGGGUAGAAUAGGCAUAUCACAUUUUCUCACCCCAAAUCAUUUUUAUACUCGUCUAACGAGAUCUUUUGGAAAUGUUUUGGCUUAUUUUCUGUCCAUAGAGACUAGAGAGAACAAAUUUUGAAGCUAGGGUUUUGCACAAACACACUUGGAUCUUGAAGAUUAAAGCUUGUGGUUAAGGUUUUCUUACCCAUUUAUGUUUGUUUCUUUAUUUUCUUGCUUUAUAUUGAAUAUUUAAGUCUGUAGUAUUUAUUUCCAACACUUGAAUCUUGUAUAUGGGAAUAUUCUUAUUUAAAGUAUGGAUUAAAUACCAUGUUGUGCUUAUGUAUUGAAUGAUUUUUCUAUAUUUAUGAAGUGAGUUAUUGUUACUUGAAUUAUUCUUGUUCUUUAAUGUUUCCAAAGGGAUUAGCUAAGCCCAGGACUCGUCCAUUAACUCCGAAUUAAUUUUGGGAAAAUUAGUUUGGGGUUUGAAAAGGUUAAUUAACAAGAACUUGAGUCGCUAAACCUCAUUUAAUAGAUUCUACCUAGGGAUAUGAUUGAACUACUUGUAGCCUUUCGGGUGUGCUUAAUCUUUUAAUUGUGAUUAGGGAUAAUUCAAUUAGGAAGUCUUGUUAGUCUUCGGAAGAAGCUAAUUGAGAAUUAUUAUUCGUGGCUAAGUAACAUAAACCAAGGAUUUGCCCAUUAACUCCGAAUUAAUUUUGGGAAAAAUAGUUUGGGUAAGGAAAGAUUAAUUAACAAGAACUUGAGGUGCUAACCCUCAUUUUAUAGAUUCUACCUAGAGAUAGGAUUGAACUACUUGUAGCCUUUCGGGUGUGCUUAAUCUUUUAAUUGUGAUUAGGGAUAAUUCAAUUAGGAAGUCUUGUUAGUCUUCGGAAGAAGCUAACUAAUAUCUGUGGCUAAUUAACAUAAACUCGCGCAUAUUUGUAAAAUCGUGAAAUCCAUUGUAUCGUCACUUGAGUGUAAUUCCCGAUGCAUUCAUACUUGUAUCCAUUGAUCAUUUUACGUGUUUUUUAAGUUAGUUUACAUUUCCGCAUUUUAGAUAUAAAAAUAAUUUUCAACCAAAAUUCUUAGUGUUUGGCAUUGCGCAACUAGUGUAAUUUUUCAUACAUUCCUAAUCGCCUACACAUUGCUGUAUGUGGGAUUCGACCACGACUCACGGUUGGGUAAAUUAUAUUGCAUGCGACCGUGUCUAUUGCUUUUUAGAGGUGGAUUUGGACGUCAUCAAAAUUGGUGCCGUUGCCGAGUAACAAUUUGGCAUAAUUUAGGUUGUUUGAGAAGUAAGCGAAAGUGCUUUGAUCCAAAUUUGUGAAUAUUUGUGUAAUUAUUUUUCUUACCUUGAGUCUAUUUUUCUUGUUUGUUUCUUGUUCAUUUUCUUAUUUUUGAAAAAUGGCAUCAGAUAAUGAUAAUUGGCUGGAUGGUAGUUCUUCAUAGUUUGAUGACCCAUGUUCUUAUUGUGGAGGACCACACUCGUGGAAAAAUUAUUUAAGUUCUCCCAGGGGUGGAUUGUGCGCACAAUCUCAUCCCUAUUGUUGGAGUAUUUGUAAUAAGUGUGGUUGCCAAAAUGAUCAUUGGGAUUAUUGUUCAUAUUUGACCUUCCCUUCCCCAAGCCGCUACUAUGAUGAGUUUGCUUUUUGUGAUGAAAACUAUAGGGGUAUGGAAAUGGAAGAAAGUGAGCAUGACCAAAGUUGAGAGUUCAUGCUCAUGUUGGAGUGUCUACUUCAAGAAGGAAACAAGGAGCAAAAUGCCUUGGAACAUCUUUUGGAGAAUAGUCUCCAAAAUGAUUUGGCACUUCAAAGGUUGCACUCACAAAUGGAUGAAUUGAUCGAAUCCUCAAGGGUUCAAAAAGCCUCGGAAGGGAAUGAAAACUAAGAACCUCUCUUGGAAAUUGCACUCACAAAUAGAUGAAAUGAUCGAAUCCUCAAGGGUUCAAAGAGCCUUGGAAGUGAAUGAAACCCAAAAUUCUUCCUUGGAGAUUGAAAGCGAAAUCCCUUUCUUGGCAUUCGAUAAAAAUCAAGAAGAACUCCCAAAUGCUCAAAAUGAGAAAAUAAUGCUCAUGUUGGAGACCGUUCUUGAAAAUGAGGAGAAGCACAACUUUGCACUCGAGGACUUGAAACACAGCUUGAAUUACAAUGAUGAACAUAUCCGCACUUUGGAAGAUCAAAUGCAAACUUUGGUUGAGGCUCACUAUGCCCAAUUCCGAGGAAGAAAGUGAGCUUUACUUUGAGGAGUCAAGAAAUGAACAUCCGCUAACUGAUUCCAUGAGUGUUCGUAAUGCCAAGAAAUAUAUGGAAUUCGAGUCAACCAGUGUAAAUGCAAAUGUGGUUGACGUUGACUCUAAUCCGGGGGGAAAGAAUGAUGUGAAGAUAGAAAAAUUGCAAACUGAAGGCUUGAAGUCACAGUCCAAGCAUUUUUCAAUGUUGGAAUUGUGUGGUGACAAGGAAGUUGAACCACAUGUACCAAUGAAGGACUGCGAGGAGGAAAACCUCAUGCCAUACAUUUUGCAGUUUGAGGAAGCACAAAAACAAAAUGUCAUUCCUCACUUGAGAGCAAGAAGUGUAAAAUGAAGAUUUUAAGCAUUGGCCCGAUCAUCAACUUACCACCCCCAUCACUCGUGGUCACAAGCUUGAUUCCAAGCUAGGUGCCCAAUUCAUAUCAUCAAAGUGGCGAGAAAAGUGGUAACGUUAUUUGCGCGUGCCUCGACGUUAAUUGCGGCGCUCGGUGGGAGGCAACCCAUCAUUUUUCAAAAGUUUUCAUCAUUUUUCAAAUUUUCUUUUUUAGAAUAGCAUAGAAUAUUAUUUUUGACUAAUCUGCUAAGUUUUAAUUUUUUUGGAGUUGAUGUGAACAGGUCGGAGUGGUCUGGAGUGUAAAAACAAG